RNA transcript from Neocloeon triangulifer, 1296 nucleotides. It is a transcript of the gene named synaptobrevin-1-like, with no coding region annotated. Lineage: Eukaryota; Metazoa; Arthropoda; Insecta; Ephemeroptera; Baetidae. The transcript is spliced from 8 exons. The record is from RefSeq and is a predicted model, not a curated record.
CGGUUUGCUGCUCUCAGCCAAUGAGAGCCAGGAAUUUGGUCACAUGACUUGAAAUGACGCACUCUGAUUGGCUGAUAUCAAUAAGGCAAAUAGGAUGUAAGAAAUUGUUUUUUAGAGCCGAGGAAAACCUACUUUGUAAACGCAUACACUCGCGCAUCUGUUUGCCGAGCCAUUAUCGCUGCCGAUCAAAAGCACACACAAUCUACUUCAGCACACCUGAGGAGAACCUUUCGAAGAAUUUAAACCAGGAGAAAACAGACGACCAGAAGCACAAUGAUGCCCGGCGAUGGAACUUUUGACGGCGUGGACCAAGCCCCAUCAAAGAAUCCACAACAGCAAGCAGCUAAUAAGAGACUGCAGCAAACACAGGCUCAAGUCGAUGAAGUUGUGGAUAUCAUGAGGGAUAAUGUGCAGAGGGUGCUUGAAAGAGAUACCAAGUUGUCUGAGUUAGACAACCGCGCAGAUGCCUUGCAACAAGGUGCCACACAAUUUGAACAGCGUGCUGGACAACUGAAAAGGAAAUACUGGUGGAAGAACUUGAAGAUGAUGAUUAUCAUGGGCGUCAUUGCAGCUGUCAUCUUGAUUAUAAUCAUUGUUCUCGUGACCACGAAUUAGUAGUUCGUAUUGGUUCCUUGCGGUUUUCUUUGUCUUGACUUAUUUAUUUUUAAACUUCUGUUUGGCCUGAAAGUGGAGAUCGUCCUGAAGCUCUUCCUACUCCACAACCGAAUGUACCGAAGCUGCCUGGAAAUUAAAAUUUGUUGCACAAAUUACGGUCCAAACUUGUCAAAUUAUUAGGAGCUGCAUUUGAAAAAAAAAAUAUGAUUAUUUCAAAUUGUGUGCCUUAUUCAAUGUUUCAAUGAGACUUACUGAAUUCCCAGCCUGCAGUCAAUAUCAAUUUGUAUCAAUAUACAGAGAGAAAUGUCCAAGAUUUAAAUUAUAAUUGUAGCCUGACAUUUAACUGUGGUAAAAGUAAUCAUUAAACUUCAAUGGAAUGUAUGUAUUUGUCGUAUCGUUUAACAAUGUUUAAAUAUUUUACCUAGUUAUUUUUUUUUUGCUUUUUAAGAAAAGCAUUGACCAUAAUUAUUGUGGAAAUGCAUAAAUAUACUUUAGAGGCAUAAUAUUAUAGCCUACGAUUGAAAAUACUGAGGUGCUUUGCUAUAUCUUCUACUAUGUACUGACACUUGGUCUUACGAUUCCUAAUUUUGAAUAGCCUAGGAAAUACAUAUUAGCCGUAUUUAAAAAAAAAACAUGUAUUUUAAACAUUAUUGUAAUAAAUUCUUUCAGAACUUUGCUCUA